UUGAUCUUGGCUAACAUCAACUUGAAUCUAUCGAAGUCGUUGAGAGCUGCCCUUUUCUUCUGGACGAUAAGCUUUCUACCCCAUGAGCUAUUCUCCCACUUGUUCUUAACAUCUUCCAACACAAGAAUAUGCAAUUGAAUACAGAAUAUACAAUUGAACAAAGGAUAGGGAUCAAGCAGAAAUCAGAAGCAGAUGUGUACAGAAAGUGUUGUCCUUACCAGCCUUCUCCAUAGCUUCAAUUAAAUUUUUCUUUUUUGGAACCCUGUUAAUGUCGAUCUUGAUAUCAGUGAGUGAAAGCCUCUUAAAGUUCAUUUGGCUCCUCACCAUAUCUGGGGCAUCAACUAGAGCCUGUCAAGAAAAAAAACACACAAACAAAAGCUUUAGAAAACCACCAUUCAUGUUCAGCAACUCCUAAAUAGAAUUACUAUUGCUAAGCAUUGAAAUAUACACAAAAAGGAUUACACUUAAGAAGCACCCUGACACCAUCAAGGGUGGUUAAGGUGGAAUCCUAGCAGGUUGUUAAGUAGGCGAAAUCUAAGACCUAUCUCCAUAUUCAGACUGAGGACGCUGGAAGUGAGUCUCCUGCCUUUACCAUCAACCAACCCCCAUUACGUUUACAAACAACACAACAACGAGUUUCUCUCGAGAAAUACAAGUGCGCAGAUGCUAAAAUUCUAUAGUAAAUAGAUAAACACACAGAUAUUGCUACACAACCAAAUAACACAAGGAAAUACUACAGAAACACCGAA
Molecule: long non-coding RNA, 749 nt
Filed under: Manihot esculenta (cassava)
Lineage: Eukaryota; Viridiplantae; Streptophyta; Magnoliopsida; Malpighiales; Euphorbiaceae
Description: long non-coding RNA (MESC_LNC008865)
Source: RNAcentral